Molecule: ribosomal RNA, 497 nt
Filed under: uncultured bacterium
Lineage: Bacteria
Description: partial 16S ribosomal RNA
Rfam family: Bacterial small subunit ribosomal RNA
Source: RNAcentral
GAUGAACGCUGGCGGCGUGCCUAAUACAUGCAAGUCGAGCGAACGGACGAGAAGCUUGCUUCUCUGAUGUUAGCGGCGGACGGGUGAGUAACACGUGGAUAACCUACCUAUAAGACUGGGAUAACUUCGGGAAACCGGAGCUAAUACCGGAUGAUACUUUGAACCGCAUGGUUCAAAAGUGAAAGACGGUCUUGCUGUCACUUAUAGAUGGAUCCGCGCUGCAUUAGCUAGUUGGUAAGGUAACGGCUUACCAAGGCAACGAUGCAUAGCCGACCUGAGAGGGUGAUCGGCCACACUGGAACUGAGACACGGUCCAGACUCCUACGGGAGGCAGCAGUAGGGAAUCUUCCGCAAUGGGCGAAAGCCUGACGGAGCAACGCCGCGUGAGUGAUGAAGGUCUUCGGAUCGUAAAACUCUGUUAUUAGGGAAGAACAUAUGUGUAAGUAACUGUGCACAUCUUGACGGUACCUAAUCAGAAAGCCACGGCUAACUACGUG